RNAcentral lists this ribosomal RNA (274 nucleotides) under uncultured bacterium. RNAcentral describes it as "partial 16S ribosomal RNA". It matches the Rfam family "Bacterial small subunit ribosomal RNA", at positions 523 to 796 of the family's 1533-position model. The record is from RNAcentral.
AUACGGAGGGUGCAAGCGUUACUCGGAAUCACUGGGCGUAAAGCGCGCGCAGGCGGGCUGAUAAGUUGGAUGUGAAAGCCUACGGCUCAACCGUAGAACUGCAUCCAAAACUGUCAGUCUAGAGUCUGGGAGGGGAAGAUGGAAUUAGUUGUGUAGGGGUAAAAUCCGUAGAGAUAACUAGGAAUACCAAAAGCGAAGGCGAUCUUCUGGAACAGUACUGACGCUGAGGCGCGAAAGCGAGGGGAGCAAACAGGAUUAGAUACCCUAGUAGUCC